GACGAACGCUGGCGGCGUGCUUAACACAUGCAAGUCGAACGGAAAGGCCCUGCUUUUGUGGGGUGCUCGAGUGGCGAACGGGUGAGUAACACGUGAGUAACCUGCCCUUGACUUUGGGAUAACUUCAGGAAACUGGGGCUAAUACCGGAUAGGAGCUCCUGCUGCAUGGUGGGGGUUGGAAAGUUUCGGCGGUUGGGGAUGGACUCGCGGCUUAUCAGCUUGUUGGUGGGGUAGUGGCUUACCAAGGCUUUGACGGGUAGCCGGCCUGAGAGGGUGACCGGCCACAUUGGGCUUGAGCUACGGCCCGGACUCCACCGGGAGGCAGCGGUGGGGUAUAUUGUACAAUGGGCGGAGGCAUGACGCAGCAACGCCGCGCGGCGGAUGGCGGCAUUCGGGUUGUAAACCGCUUUCGCCUGUGACGAAGAGUGAGUGACGGUAAUGGAUAAAGAAGCACCGGCUAACUACGUG
RNAcentral lists this ribosomal RNA (468 nucleotides) under uncultured bacterium. RNAcentral describes it as "partial 16S ribosomal RNA". It matches the Rfam family "Bacterial small subunit ribosomal RNA", at positions 28 to 507 of the family's 1533-position model. The record is from RNAcentral.